UACGGAGGGUGCAAGCGUUGUUCGGAAUUAUUGGGCGUAAAGGGCGCGUAGGCGGUGUGGUAAGUCUGAUGUGAAACCUCCAGGCUCAACUUGGAGCUUGCAUCAGAAACUGCCGUGCUAGAGUGUGGGAGAGGAGAGUGGAAUUCCUGGUGUAGCGGUGAAAUGCGUAGAUAUCAGGAGGAACACCGGUGGCGAAGGCGGCUCUCUGGACCACAACUGACGCUGAGGCGCGAAAGCUAGGGGAGCAAACAGG
RNAcentral lists this ribosomal RNA (253 nucleotides) under uncultured bacterium. RNAcentral describes it as "partial 16S ribosomal RNA". It matches the Rfam family "Bacterial small subunit ribosomal RNA", at positions 524 to 776 of the family's 1533-position model. The record is from RNAcentral.